UAUUAAAUACAUUUAAGAAAUACAUUGGUUUGGUUCAGAAAGGCAGAACAACUCAAAGUGGGGUGGUGGUGUGGGGGUUUCCAGGCUAUAGGUAAAUUUAAACAUUUUCUGGUUGACAAUUUGUUGAGUUUAUUUGAAGACCUGGGAUUAAUGGAAAGGAAUAUUCAGGUUAAGAUAAAUGACUGUGGAGACCAAGUUUUAUUGUGCAGAGGAAUCUCUCAGAUAGCAGACUUCAGAGAGACAGCAGGUUGUAAAAUAUUUCUUAUCAGACUUAAAAGAGUGCCUGGCUCUUAGUUGAUUACCUCCUGGAUCUGGAAAGAAACAAAGGAAAACAAAGGAGAAAUCCAUAUUCUCUACAGAAUGUGGAUUUUUCCCACAAGAGACUUUGCAGGGCAAUUUCAAGGUAUGGCAAAGAAAUAUAUUUUCGGGUAAAACAUUUUUUCCUUGUCUCACAAUGUUAUGCCAGAGUCAGAUUGAAAAGUUAGUCACAAUAUAUAGGGUCAAAUAAAACCCAUCUGAUGAGAAUUUAUGGUUUGUAGGGCAUGACUCCCCAGGCCCCUUAGAUAGGAAUUUAGGCAAAAUAAAAAAUCAGAGCUUAGUCCUCAAUAUGUAGAAGUGAUAAGCAAAGCUGAUAGAAUAGAUAAUAUUUUAGGAAAAAAAUAAAAUGAAAAAAACCCUGAUGAUUGGAGACUCAGAAUUAAAUCACUAAAUUUACUGCAUAAAGGAUAAUAUUUGUAUGUAUUGUGUGUUUGAUGGGAAGCAGAUGGUUUGACAAAAUAAUAAUUAUACUUUCCUUGUAGUCUGCUCUCAUUCCAGUUUUAUAUCUGAUUUCCAGCUAUCUAUGCCUUUUAGUUAAGCAGAACUGUUCUUAGAGAAUCAUCUGAAGGUUUUUGCUCUCUUCUUUCUCAGCAAGUUAAUAUAGAUGUAUUUGGGCUUUAUCAACAAAGAAAGAAAUUACUAUUUCUUUAAUUUUUUUUCCUUUGAAUUCCUUUCAUUAUUUAAAGUGGUGAUGCUUCAAAUAGCUAAAGACUAAUUUAAAAAAAAAAAAAGGUGAUUCAUUCAUUUCCUCCACCAGAGCCACAUCUCAGCCUCAGGGCUCAAGGAUGGCAGCAGCAUGAGGUUAAUUUUGGACUCACAGGCUGCUUGCUUGAAAACUGUUAGCUUCACUUCUCAUCUCCUUGUGGGUAGGGAGCUGCCACUGAUGGCAUUUACAGAAUAACAAAUGAGGAUUAAGCUUUCUAUUUGGGAGAUAUUUUGAGCAAAAUUAAACAUGGUGUAGGCAGAGUGGAUUAGAUUGAAAUGAUCCCCAUUCUGACAAAGCCCUUAAAACACACACACACACACACACACACACACACACACACACACACACACAUAAAGCCAGUAUUAACCCUCAAGAACAAGGUAAAUCACAAAACAUCUGCAGUGUCCUACCAGUUUUCCAGUAAUUGCAAUAGAGUAUAAUUAAGGUAACUAAGUCUAAGGACUCUGUGUUUAAAUGCUGGCUGUACCACCUGCUAGCUGUAUAACCUUGAAAACAUAUUUGAUCUCCCUAAGUUUCAGUUUCCUCCAAUGUUAUAUUGGGGUUAAUAACGACAGCUAACAUUCAUUGAGUAUAUAUCAUGCCCAGAGUGUCCAUUCACUUAUUUAUUUCUGAUUUAACAAAUUGGAAGAUGGGUCAGAAGAAAAUACUCAGACUUAAGCCCAAAGUUAUGGAAAUUACAGAAAAGAUAGUAAAAGAUAAAUUGACACAGCAAAUAGGUUUAACACAUGUGCAUCUGGAGUCCCAGAAGGAGAUGUGAAAGAAUAUGGAGAAGGUUAUUAUUUGCCAGCCACUGCUUUAAGUACUUUACAGAUAUAUCUUAUUUAAUCCUCAUAAAAUCUCUCUGAGGUAGGCACUAUUCUUGCCACACCCAUUUUACAGAUGAGGAAACCAAGGCACCAAGUUAGGUAACUUGCCCAGGGCCACACAGCUAGUAAGUGGUAGAGCUGAGAUAUAAACCCAAGCAGUCUGAGCUGUGUCCACAUUUUAAACCAGCCUUAUUCUGAGGACCAUACAUAUGUCAACUCAUUAAAUGCUCACCAAUAAGUCCUAUGAGUACUAUCAUUAUCCCCAUUCUAUAGGUGAAAGAGGUUAGGCAAUUUGGCCAAGAUUACAUAAUUAGGUAAUGAUAGAGCUAAGAUACAAUGCCAGACAAGUCUGUCUCUAAAACCCACAAUCAUAAUUUUUAUGCUAUAUCCUCUGUCAGUAAUAGUACCUUUAUCAUAGAGUUCUUUAGUCCAGUCCUGGCAUACACUCAGAUAUUAUUAUCAUUUACGAUUACUAUUACUGAUUGUCCUCUGAUAGUUGUAGCUCCCUAAGAGCUCAAGUUGCAAUCACAGUGAGGUGGGAGUAGCAGGAAUGUAUAGCAUGCUGCCUGAAUAUGACACCCUGCUCUCAGCAGGUUCCUAAGAUGAGGAAACUAUUAGAGUUCCUAAAAUGAAGGUCCUUGCUAGAGAUUCCAUGUAUUUCAGUUCAUUUACUCUCUUUGCCUAACUGCAGUAUAGAAGGUGACUGGAUACCAGAAAAAUUGUAGGGAAAGAGGAAGGGAGUUUUAAUUCUUUGUUUUAAUCCUUUGUUGGGAGUUUUAAAAUUUGAUAGAAUUCCAAUCUGUCUUGACUGAGAGCAAGCUAGCACAGAAUACCACAUCACACUCCCCAAAUGAUGCUAAGGCAUUUAUAAUAGUAGGUUUUUUUUUUUUUUUUUUUUUUUUGAGAUGGAGUCUCACCCUGCCACACAGGCUGGAGUGCAGUGGCACGAUCUCAGCUCACUGCAACCUCCACCUCCUGGGUUCAAGCAAUUCUCAUGCCUCAGCCUCCCAAGUAGCUGGGAUUACAGGCACAUGCCACCAUGCCCGGCUAAUUUUUAUAUUCUGAGUAGAGACGGGGUGCUGUGAUUACAGGCGCGAGCCACCAUGCCCGGCCAUAUAUAUAUAUAUAAUUUUUUUUUUAAUAAGCCUUAACUCUAUGCCAACUACUUUUCCAAGUGCAUAUGUUAAUUUAUGUGUUCCUUAGAAAAGCCCUAGGAGAUGCAUAAUAUUAUCUGCUCACUUUAUAGAUGAGGAAAUUAAGGCCUGGUGUUCAAGGCCACACAGUCAGUAAGUGAUAAAACUGGAAUUUGAACAGUUUUGCCCCAGAACCCAAGAUCUUAUGUUCCUCUCACUUCAAUACUAGUUUUUUUUGAGAUGGAGUCUCGCUCUGUUGCCCAGGCUGGAGUGCAGUGGCAUGAUCUCUGCUCACUGCAACCUCUGCCUCCCGGGUUCAAGUGAUUCUCCUGUCUCAGCCUCCUGAGUAGCUGGGAUUACAGACAUGCGCCACAACGCCUGACUAAUUUUUGUAUUUUUUAGUAGAGACAAGGUUUCACCAUGUUGGCCAGGCUGGUCUCGAACUCCUGACCUCAGGUGAUCCACCCGCCUCAGCCUCCGGAAGUGCUGAGAUUACAGGCAUGAGUCACCGCACCCAGCUUCCAACACUAGUUUUAAUACUCUUCCCACAUUACCGAUUACCCCUCUAUCUCAUGAAUGAAACUAAAUAUUAAAUAUAUAAUUGUAAAGUACAAGGUGAUUUUCAUGAAGUUGUUUUGCGGUCCUCUUAAAAAUGCUUCCCAUCUCUCACCAUUACAUUGUACUCUGCUUUUUUUUUUUUUUUUUUGAAAUAGGAUCUCAUUCUGUUGCCCAGGCUGGAGUGCAGUGGCGUGAUCUCAGCUCACUGCAACCUCUACCUUCUGGGCUCAAGUGUCACCUCUGCCUCCUGAGUAGGUGGGACUACAGGCAUGCACCAUCACACCUGGCUAUUUUUUUUGUUUUUUGUAGAGAUGGGGUUUUGUUAUGUUGCCCAGGAUUGUCUCAAACUCCUGGGUCCACACAAUCUACCUGCCUAGGCCUUCCAAAGAACUGGGAUUACAGGUGUGAGCCACUGCCCCCAGCCCAUUGUACUUUGAUUCUUUUGCCUGCAAUGUUUUCAGCCCUUCGCCCAAGGUGAGAUUUUUGAUAAUACAAAAGUUCUGAAUCCAUUUGACAGGGUUUACUUGUCAACAAAGUGGAUACAGGUAUCUUCUUCUUGUCCACAGCCAAAUCUUGUGGCGAUAGUCAGAUAGUAGAAGGUGGUGGUGGGGGAUGUCUACUCUGCCUUUUUUUUUUUUUUUUUUUUUUUUUAAGGAGAUAGGGUCUUGUUCUGUCACCCAGGCUGGAGUACAGUGGCACGAUCAUAGUUCACUGCAGCUUCGAACUUCUGGGCUCGAGUGAUCCUCUCACCUCAGCCUCCAAGUAGUUGGGAUGACAGGUGCAUACCAACAUGCCCAGCAAAUUUUUCUUGUGGUUUUUUAAGAGAUGGGGGUCACGCUGUGUUGCCCAGGUUGUUCCUGAACUCCUGACCUGAAGGGAUUCUCCUGUCUUAGCCUCCCAAGUCACCGCAAUUACAGGUGUGAGCCACUGUGCCUGGCUCCCCUCUGCCUUUCGUUACCUUUCCUAGGGCAGGAAUUGUUGGCAUAUACUGGCACCAGUGCCCAACAUUGUUUCACUUUAUUUUGGAUCCUAAAAAAUUAAUUUCUCCUCAAUUUAUUUAUGAAGAAAUAUAUCUUAUCAAAAGACCAAGGAAGCAGGAUUUGUAAGCAAAGAAGAUUUCAGGAAUUUGUAGGUUUUACAUGUUCUUCUACCUCAGAUAUAUAGCUGACUCUUUUUUUGGGAAGGGGCACAGAAAAAUUUAUGUACCCUGUUAAAUAGCAGUAGACAAUAGUUACGGUCUGCUAGCCCCAUCUACUUCUCAUGAGAAGAAAAAAGGUCUACAAAGGCAUUGUCACAGAGGUUUUUGGCCUCUUGUAAGAGACUUUCCUGAGGUUUUUAUAUAGCCAAGUGUUUUGCUUAUUUACUACUUUGUGGCACUGGAUCAAAUAAUGUAUGCUGAUAUAUAAUACAUUGAUUAAUGCAUUUUCCAAACUCAUGACCAGCUUGAAAUAUAUUGUUUUUUGGUUUUUUUUUUGAGACAGAGUCUCGCUCUGUUGCCCAGGCUGGAGUACAGUGGCACGAUCUCGGCUCACUGCAAGCUCCACCUCCCGGGUUCACACCAUUCUCAUGCCUCAGCCUCCCGAGUAGCUGGGACUACAGGUGCCCGCCACCACGCCCAGCUAAUUUUUUUUUUGGUAUUUUUAGUAGAGACGGGGUUUCACCGUGUUAGUCAGGACGGUCUCGAUCUUCUGACCUCGUGAUCCGCCUGCCUCGGCCUCCCAAAGUGCUGGGAUUACAGGCAAGAGCCACCGCGCCUGGCCCAGCUUGAAAUAUUUUUAUAGAAUGUCUCAGAGUCUAUAAAAUAAUUUUUAAUAUUUUGUAAUAUUUUUAGAGAUAUCAGUGAAGGAUUUAAAAAAUAAGAGACAGACAGUAUAAUGUAAAAAUUUUCUCAUGGGAUAUUUUUUGUUACCAAUGUGAAUUUAUUGAUACUACCUUGAUGCUAAUAGUGAAUUCUUUGAAGGCAAGACAUUCAUUUGUUUUUUAGUUCACAGUGAACCUAACAUAGUAACUUGAAUGUAAUAGAUGCUUCAUUAUUGUUUGUUGAAUGUAUGAAUGAUUAAAUAAAUAAAUUUAGUACCAUCACUAUGUAAGUUCCAAUAAAUUUUAAAUCAUAAAUAACUAAAUAACACAUUAAAAUGGAUUCAGGAAAAACUGAAAUAUUUUUAAUUGUAUUUGGGCCAUGUAAUAAAUAUAAUGGUGAAUAUAGUGAGAGUAAUAAAAAUUGAAUUAUUUUAAUACGAUGAAUUAUCACUGAAAGCAUGUCAUUUGCGUAUUUAUUUUACAUAUAUUAACAAAACAUUAGCAAAAAACAAAAGGGCAAACAAGAGAGGGAAAAAAGUAAAUAUAAAGAAUUGGCGAUUCUAUCCACCAUUUCAUGUGAUAGGAGACAUGAAUCUGCUAUCUCUGAAGGCCAUCUUAGUUUCCGUAUGCCUCCAGUAGUGUGUGCAUCUAUAUCUGGUGCUUGAAGAGACAAACUUUUGUACAAGGCGAUCCUUAUCCAAACCAACUGUUUCAUUUGGUUCUCAACCAUAGAAACACUGGAGGACAAAAACUGGCAGUAUUGUUCUUAUUGAGGGAAGAGAUGUCGGUCUCUUAUAUAGGAGACUUUCAGUACUAUGUUGAGGAUAUCUGUGUCUAUGUUCAUCAGGGAUGUUAGCCAGCCAUUUUCUUUUCUAGUAGUUUCCUUGACUGGCUUUGGUAUCAGGGUAAUGCUGGCCUUGUAAAAUGAGUUUGGGAAUAUUCCAUCUUCUUCAAUUUUUUGGAAGAAUUUGUAAGAGUUUGAGCAGGACAUCCAGUUUGUUGACAUAUCAUUGCUCAUAGUAGUUGCUUAUGAUCCUUUGUAUUUCUUCGGUAUCCAUUGUAAUGUCUCCUCUCAAAUUUCUAAUUUUAUUUGAAC
RNAcentral lists this long non-coding RNA (6438 nucleotides) under Homo sapiens (human). RNAcentral describes it as "HSALNT0141585". The record is from RNAcentral. Lineage: Eukaryota; Metazoa; Chordata; Mammalia; Primates; Hominidae.